This 264-nucleotide long non-coding RNA is filed under the name Eucalyptus grandis. RNAcentral describes it as "long non-coding RNA (EGRA_LNC007489)". The record is from RNAcentral. Lineage: Eukaryota; Viridiplantae; Streptophyta; Magnoliopsida; Myrtales; Myrtaceae.
GGGCUUGCUGGCUUAGCUGGCGUCGAGCUGAAGGUGACGCUGGCGAAGACACAAACGAAAGAUGGAGCAGGGAAGCAGCUGCGAUGGAGUCUUCGAGCGGAUGAAGUCCACGGCGUUAAUGGGCUGAAGAAAUCGAGUAAAGGGACUUCGGUGGUGGUGAGUCACGGACGGUGGCAGCUUCUGCCGUGAGCUGCUUCAAGGAGUUUCGGUGGGGUGUGGCUUCGGUUGCUGCACCCGGUGGUCAACUAAGGAGAGGGAGAGCUU